RNAcentral lists this transfer RNA (66 nucleotides) under Bostrichoidea sp. 4 KM-2017. RNAcentral's name for it is "tRNA-Trp". It matches the Rfam family "tRNA". Rfam says of the family: Transfer RNA (tRNA) molecules are approximately 80 nucleotides in length. Their secondary structure includes four short double-helical elements and three loops (D, anti-codon, and T loops). Lineage: Eukaryota; Metazoa; Arthropoda; Insecta; Coleoptera. The record is from RNAcentral.
AAGGAUUUAAGUUAAAUUAAACUAUUAGCCUUCAAAGCUAAAAAUAAUAAAAAAAAUUAAGCCUUA